UUCCGGUUGAUCCUGCCGGACCCGACUGCUAUUUGGGUGAGAAUAAGCCAUGCGAGUCGAAUGGGAUUCCUAAAUUUCCCAUGGCAAACUGCUCAGUAACACAUGAUCAACUUACCCUAUAGAGAAAAAUAACCUCGGGAAACUGAGGAUAAUAUUUCAUAAUUGAAUCGGCUUGGAAAAGUUUUUCAAUCAAAAGAAUAAGAAAAAUGGUUCUUAUUCGCUAUAGGAUAGGAUCGUGGACGAUUAUGGUUGUUGGUGAGGUAACGGCUCACCAAGCCGAUAAUCGAUAGGGGCCGUGAGAGCGGGAGCCCCGAGAUGGGUACUGAGACAACGACCCAGGCCUUACGAGGCGCAGCAGGCGCGGAAACUCCGCAAUACACGAAAGUGUGACGGGGUUACCCAAAGUGUUCAAUUUUGAACUGUGGUAGGUGAGUAAUGUCCCCUACUAGAAAGGAGAGGGCAAGGCUGGUGCCAGCCGCCGCGGUAAAACCAGCUCUUCAAGUGGUCGGGAUAAUUAUUGGGCUUAAAGUGUCCGUAGCCGGUUUAGUAAGUUCCUGGUAAAAUCGGGUAGCUUAACUAUCUGUAUGCUAGGAAUACUGCUUUACUAGAGGGCGGGAGAGGUCUGAGGUACUACAGGGGUAGGGGUGAAAUCUUAUAAUCCUUGUAGGACCACCAGUGGUGAAGGCGUCAGACUGGAACGCGCCUGACGGUGAGGGACGAAAGCCAGGGGAGCGAACCGGAUUAGAUACCCGGGUAGUCCUGGCCGUAAACGAUGCAUACUAGGUGAUGGUGCGGCCAUGAGCCGUAUCAGUGCCGUAGGGAAACCGUUAAGUGUGCCGCCUGGGAAGUACGGUCGCAAGGCUAAAACUUAAAGGAAUUGGCGGGGGAGCACCACAAGGGGUGAAGCCUGCGGUUCAAUUGGAAUCAACGCCGGA
This 935-nucleotide ribosomal RNA is filed under the name uncultured archaeon. Its description in RNAcentral is "bacterial SSU rRNA". It matches the Rfam family "Archaeal small subunit ribosomal RNA", at positions 1 to 922 of the family's 1478-position model. The record is from RNAcentral.